UCAAAGGGGACCUUUAUUCCACUCAUUAAUUUCCUAUCUCUCACCAGUUGUAUGGUUGUGUAUAUUUUGAAUCCUUAUUGCUAUUUAUCACAUGUAUGCUACUGUUAUUGGGAACCCAAUCAGUUGGGAGUGAUUUCAAUAGGACCAAGAGGAGCCCCCAAAAGAACUGAAAGGGAUCCCCAUAUAUGUAUACACAUAUAUUUAUAUAAGAGUUCUUUAAGAAUUCUUCCCCACUGAGGAGUAUUAAACUUUUGUUAUUGAGAUUGAAGAGCCCACUUAGAAACAAAAAAAGGCAAAAUGUCAAAAAAAAAAAAAACCCCAUAGGUGUCUCAUCGAAAGAAACAAAAUAUAGAGCUAGGCUUAGAGUUUUUGUUCCUCAUGGAGACAAAAACCUAGGGUGAAGUCUCUAGUCUCAAACAAGAGGGGAACUUUAGUACUAUUAUGUUUGUGCUUGUUCCUAAAUGAGUAUAUGGUUUCUUGGUUUAUUUGUAAUUUAAAGAGUUUUGUAAUACUGAUUCAUUAAUCUCUUUGACUUCUAAAUCUGAAAAUUGCUAAUUUUAUAAUGUGGUGUUUUAACAACUUGUUUAUCUAUUCCUGUGUAUAUUGUUAGGGGGACUAGUGGAACUCAAGUGCGUUUGUGGGAUUUGUUUAAUAUUGUGUUCGGUGUUUGGCUCUUUCUUUUCUUUCAACUCUAACUUGUUUCGUAUAUAUGUUGCACUAUCUCUCUUUAUUUUUCUUUCCUCAGUUAAGCGACUGAGAGCAUACUUGAAUAUUUUGGAGUAGGUAGUAUGCAUUGGUGUGUCUAUAUAUGCAUAAUGUACAUGUUUGUCUACAAAAAAUAUUGAGGGAGGUAGAAACAUGGACAAGAGUUGAAUUGAUUUACCAAAGAUGUCAAGGGACUACUUGAAUGGGAUUGACAGAUUUCUUGAGUUUUCAUACACUGCUAAGCUUGAUAGUUUGUUCAUCAGUUGUCCUUGUAGAAAAAGUGAGAAUCGCUAUAGUUUGCAUACACCGCUAAGAGAACAUAGGGGCGCUAGGAUGAAGAUAUUGGUUGGGUGACGGAAGGAGAAGAAGGUGACAUGAUUGUUGUUUAGGCUUCGUCCGUUAUUUGCCUCUCCUUUACCAUGUUCUCCAUGACUGGAUGGAAAGGGUCUAAGCUUCUCGAUCACAUCCAAGACGUUCACAGGCCAAUUGGAGAUAGGUCAGGACUUGGUUACCAUGCUUCCUCAUCCUAUAUGACUGUUGAGAAUAAUACAAGCAAGGAAAACAAAGACAAGCAAAGGAGAUAAAGCAUGUAAAGCCAAAAGUGAUUGUAAGCAUUAUCAAGCCUCAAAAUAUUGGACUGUUGGCAUUUCCCUAGCCUAACCUUGAUUUUUGGUGGAGAAAGAGCUAAGAAAAAUGGGAGAAGCGGACUGCUCAAAUGCAGUCAAUACUGCCGAGAAAACAGAGCAAGAGAGAUGCUGCUCUCUGGAAAGCAGGGGAAAAAGAAACGUGAAAUGGGGCUGCUCUACCUUUUUCAUUCCCUUACUCCUUUAAAUACUAUGGCAAAGCCCUUUACAUAGGGAGGAGGUAAAAGAAUAAAUAGGACACCACACUUUAAACUAUUACAAAACUAACAUAAGCACUUGAAUAUUGCAAUAAAAUACAAAAGGCAUUAAUUUUAACAAGGACGCUCUCUUGUAGUUUUGUUGGCACCUUGUUCAACCUAGUCAGAUUUCGUUGAUGGAAGAUCAUAAUCAUGUUGACGAAAUACUUUUGUUGGCGCCUUGUUGAACCUAGUCAGCUUUCCUGAGUACCUAACUUUCUCUUGACGAAAUACUCUUUAAAGUGCAUGGUGAGAUAUAUAAAUGACUCUUAGUUAAUCCAUUCAUUCAAAAUGCAUGAAGAGGGAAGAAGCUAAAAUCACUGUAUGGGAGAACCUUCAGAAGGCAAAAGCCGAGGCAGCGAUAAGGAAACAAGAGGUGUUUGUCGAGGACUAAAGCGUGUAAUGAUCGUGAAGAUGCAAUAUUUUGGAUUCCACUUAUUUUUUAGUACUAUUGGCAUUGCCUACUUUAGCUUUUAUUCCCUGAACAUGUUAUUGGAGCAAUAUUGUAAUAUGGAUCUCCUCUUGAGAUUGAAUGAAUGGAUCAAUGUUGGUUUUUGAAUGAAAGAUGGUUUUUGUAUUAGAAUGGAUGAGGACAUGCUUUGGAUGGAUUAGCCCUUGUUGUUUUAUAUGUCCAGAAAACUAUAUAUGCAGGUUAGUAUCUGUAAUUAGUUAAAAAAAAUUAAAAAAUUGGGUCAGCGAUUGCUCCUAGGAUGUACAUAUGUUUUUCAAUUUUGAGACGGCACAAACUCAGACGCCAAAGGAAUAAGUUUAUACCUGAACCAUUGGCAACGGCAUAGGCCGAUGAAAAUAAUGCUAUUUGCGAUGGCAAGGCGUCCCGAUGCUAAUGAUCACAUGUUUUUCAAAUUUUUUUAGUCGGCAAGAAUGCUGACGCAAAAAAACUAUUAGCGACAGUGCAUGCCGACGCAAAUACUAUGCGACAGCACUUGCCAACGCAAAAAACUUUUUGACACCCCACCAUUUACGUGCCCCCCACAGUAG
This is a long non-coding RNA of Rhododendron vialii, 2584 nucleotides long. RefSeq lists it as uncharacterized. NCBI's taxonomy places the organism in Eukaryota, Viridiplantae, Streptophyta, Magnoliopsida, Ericales, Ericaceae. The transcript has 4 exons. The record is from RefSeq and is a predicted model, not a curated record.